Molecule: non-coding RNA, 134 nt
Organism: Podarcis lilfordi (Lilford's wall lizard)
Lineage: Eukaryota; Metazoa; Chordata; Lepidosauria; Squamata; Lacertidae
Source: the annotation of a GenBank genome assembly
CUUCCAGUAGCACCUUAGAGACCAACUAAGUUUGAUAUUGGUAUGAGCUUUCAUGUGCAUGCACACUUCUUCAGAUGCACACAAAAGCUCAUACCAAUAACAAACUUAGUUGGUCUCUAAGGUGCUACUGGAAG